AUGGGCUGCCUUGAUGGUCGGCAGCGUGCAGAGUGCACAUUUAUCAGGGUUACCAUGGUUCCCUGUGGGAUUGAGCCUUGGGCUGCCAUGUCAGCAUGCGAGUACACUGUUUACAGGUUACUACAGGUUCCCUGUGAGGACACCCUUUACAGGUUACUACAGGUUCCCUGUGAGGAGAUCCUUUACAGGUUACUGCAGGUUCCCUGUGAGGACACCCUUUACAGGUUACUACAGGUUCCCUGUGAGGACACCCUUUACAGGUUACUGCAGGUUCCCUGUGAGUACACCCUUUACAGGUUACUGCAGGUUCCCCGUGAGUACACCCUUUACAGGUUACUGCAGGUUCCCUGUGAGUACACCCUUUACAGGUUACUGCAGGUUCCCUGUGAGUACACCCUUUACAGGUUACUACAGGUUCCCUGUGAGGACACCCUUUACAGGUUACUGCAGGUUCCCUGUGAGUACACCCUUUACAGGUUACUGCAGGUUCCCCGUGAGUACACCCUUUACAGGUUACUACAGGUUCCCUGUGAGUACACCCUUUACAGGUUACUACAGGUUCCCUGUGAGGACACCCUUUACAGGUUACUGCAGGUUCCCUGUGAGGACACCCUUUACAGGUUACUGCAGGUUCCCCGUGAGUACACCCUUUACAGGUUGUCUACACCCUUUACAGGUUACUACAGGUUCCCUGUGAGGACACCCUUUACAGGUUACUGCAGGUUCCCCGUGAGUACACCCUUUACAGGUUACUGCAGGUUCCCUGUGAGUACACCCUUUACAGGUUACUACAGGUUCCCUGUGAGUACACCCUUUACAGGUUACUGCAGGUUCCCUGUGAGUACACCCUUUACAGGUUACUACAGGUUCCCUGUGAGGACACCCUUUACAGGUUACUACAGGUUCCCUGUGAGGACAUCCUUUACAGGUUACUGCAGGUUCCCUGUGAGGACACCCUUUACAGGUUACUGCAGGUUCCCUGUGAGGACACCCUUUACAGGUUACUACAGGUUCCCUGUGAGGACACCCUUUACAGGUUACUGCAGGUUCCCUGUGAGGACACCCUUUACAGGUUACUACAGGUUCCCUGUGAGGACACCCUUUACAGGUUACUACAGGUUCCCUGUGAGGACACCCUUUACAGGUUACUACAGGUUCCCUGUGAGUACACCCUUUACAGGUUACUACAGGUUCCCUGUGAGGACACCCUUUACAGGUUACUACAGGUUCCCUGUGAGGACACCCUUUACAGGUUACUACAGGUUCCCUGUGAGUACACCCUUUACAGGUCCUGCAGGUUCCCUGUGA
Molecule: long non-coding RNA, 1308 nt
Filed under: Oncorhynchus mykiss (rainbow trout)
Lineage: Eukaryota; Metazoa; Chordata; Actinopteri; Salmoniformes; Salmonidae
Description: lncRNA (ENSOMYG00000077835.1)
Source: RNAcentral